AGAUUUGUCUAAAUGAAAAAAUGCAGAUUAAUGUAAUAUUUUAGCAAUCAUUAUAUUAAAGUAUGACUGGUCUUCUCAUAUAGAAUUCAGUACUCAAAUUUGAAUAUUAUCUCUUUUUUAGGAAAUGGGGGGAUUUUAUUAACUGAGAAUGAGGAAAUAAGAGAUGCUUUCCAAGAGCUAAGCUAUUAAUUUAGGAGGUUUCGGAAGAGACACAGAUCCUUUCCGAGUCCAUCCCUCCUAUGAAUAGUUACACUGUGAGCAGUUACACUGAAAACUUCAUUCAUCCGCAGAAUGACUUCCAAUCUCAAAAGUCAAUGUCCAGUGACUUCAGAAAUUGACUCUUCAGAAAGGUUAUUUCCUCGCUGACCUGUGCAAAUGUUAUGUGUGUGGCAAGAAGGAAAGAUUUUCUGAAUCCUGAUGCUCAUGCCAGUAUCCAUAACAGGAACUCUGAAAACUAGUGAUUAUGAAGGAGGGGGCUGCUGGUGUCUUGGUGCAACGCUGCCAGGUUAUGACUUCUGAUAACAUGAAAGAUGAAAGAAGAUUGUAGUGAAGCCCAAUAAUUACAAUUUCAAGUGCUGCUUUUUUUUUUUUUUUUUUUAACUUAAAAUGUCCCAAUGCAUGAAAAGACACUGAACAAACUGUUGAGUUGUGGCUAUAAUCAAGUUGGAUUUAUCUUUUGUACAAAUAGCUUUCCUAGUCAUUUAUACUAAAUCGCUGGGAAUUUUAUAGCACUUCACUUCUGAGGUUGGAAAAUCCCUCCUCUGGCAUUCUCAUGGAACCACUGCCCUGAUGGUUUCCAGAAAGUGAAACUUAUUAUUUCCCUGGCAUUGGGAGCUGUUUCUUAGUGAUCAUGACUC
RNAcentral lists this long non-coding RNA (857 nucleotides) under Sus scrofa (pig). Its description in RNAcentral is "lncRNA (ENSSSCG00015024717.1)". The record is from RNAcentral. Lineage: Eukaryota; Metazoa; Chordata; Mammalia; Artiodactyla; Suidae.